Molecule: ribosomal RNA, 254 nt
Filed under: uncultured bacterium
Lineage: Bacteria
Description: partial 16S ribosomal RNA
Rfam family: Bacterial small subunit ribosomal RNA
Source: RNAcentral
UACGUAGGGUGCGAGCGUUGUCCGGAAUUAUUGGGCGUAAAGAGCUCGUAGGCGGUCUGUCGCGUCGGUCGUGAAAACUUGGGGCUUAACCCUGAGCUUGCGGUCGAUACGGGCAUGACUGGAGUUCGGCAGGGGAGACUGGAAUUCCUGGUGUAGCGGUGAAAUGCGCAGAUAUCAGGAGGAACACCGGUGGCGAAGGCGGGUCUCUGGGCCGAUACUGACGCUGAGGAGCGAAAGCGUGGGGAGCGAGCAGG